UUUGGCAUCAAGAAUAUAUAUACUUUAUAUGGUCGGAAACGCUUCCUUCUGCCUGUUACAUACUUUUCAACGAAUCUAGUACACCCUUUUACUCUACGAGUAACGGGUAUAAUCAACAAAAAGCAUAUGUAGACAUAAAUUGCACAUGUCGAGUUCCCCUACUAUUUAUAGUAAGCGUACGCAGCCGAAGUUUAAUAUUCUCUCUCUGGGCAUCUGAAACUUUAGGAACAGGUUUUUUUAGAACAUUCCAUCACUCCCAAUUCUUGAAUGUACUUUUUUAUUGUUUUGUCGCUAACAUUGUAUUUCUUGGCAAGCGCACGAUACGAUUUUGCUGUGCGACCCAGAACUUCAGCCUUUAAUUUGGCUCUAACUUGAGACUGCUGUAAUGGACACUUUUUUCAGGACCCGGGGCUCUAUCCAUUUUUUUUUCACUCUGAACAUCUGAAUUAACUUUAUAAAUAAAAGUUUUUUUGAAGUCCAUAGCCGAAAAGUAAUAAAAAAUUGAAUUUUUUUGCUGAUUUGGGUUAUUUACACAAUAUGUGCAAAUCAAAUUUUGACGCUCUGCUGUGCUCAGAGACAUUACCACGACUACUGAUUUUCUUGAAAACUAAUAUUGAUUUCGUUGCAAGCUGGAAUAGUACCGUUAAUUGCCAUGUGUUCUGUUCUUCUCCGUAAAUUCUUAGAAAUUCUUGCGAACAUGUUUAAUGUUUUUCGUAUUUUAUUCCGCUCACCUUAUAUACUUUAUAUGGUCGGAAACGCUUCCUUCUACGUAUUACAUACUUUUCAACCAAUCUAGUAUAUCCUUUUACUCUACGAGUAACGGGUAUAAAUAUGGUAUCAUUUAAGAGCUGCAAACACCUGGAAUUAAAAUUGAAGUUAACUCUUACAACUGUGUCAACACUUAAGUUUUACACUACCCAGCAGUACCAUACAUAAACUAUUAUGUAUCACUAAGUAGGAUUUAUAAUAACCGCCAUAUUACCGCUCAAUUCGUUCAAAAACUAGCGAUGAUAUAAACAUUAAUGAUUCAUCCAUAUUAACUGACAAUUCAUCACCGUUUAAAAUUAAAUUUUAUUUUCCAUUUCUUUUUCUUUAGAACUUUAGCUGUCUUCUUAUGACAUCACGCCGAGAUCUCAGGAACUAUAGAAGCUAGAGAAUUGAGAUUAGGCAAAGUUUCCAAAAACGAAGCGCAAGUUUGUUGACCCAUGUUGCCACGCCCACUCAAAUGCCCACAAACCGCCCAAACUUUUGAAAAAUGUUGUUGAUAUUUUUUCACAUUUUUGUAAGUCUUGUAAAUUGCCACGCCCAUUCUAACACCCCCAAAACGCCAAAAACUGUCAGAGUGUAACUUUCUCUUCGCGCUUCCACCAGCUGAGUAACGGGUAUCAGAUAGUUGGGGAACUCGACUAUGGCGUUCUCUCUUGUUUUUUUUUCUACCUCCACUAGAAUGUUUCUAUUGUAAGGAGGACCCUUACCUUAACCGAAAAAAUCACAAAAAAUUACACCGAAGAUACAGCGAAGGGUGAGUGAAAAAAUCAAAAAUACAAUCAAUAUUACAAUGAUUGCCCUAAUGGCAACUUACAGGGAAGAUAAUAAGAACAGAAAGAAUGGUAAAUCUAGAGACGAAUUCGUGGGUAGGAAGGGCACAAUCCAUUUUGAAUGACUACAAUAUCAUUCGGAACAAACCCCUGCACAGGGCAAUCGUAAUGUUCAUAGACAGAAAAUUGACGGAAAACGUUGACAUGGCAUUAGUAUCUUAUAAUGUUCAAGACGACGACUGGGACGAGAUUAAACGAGAGCUUACACUACGCAAACAAAAGGGAUUUAACCACGCUCGAACACGAGCUAGGUAUGCUAACCCAGGGAGCUAACACUUAAAGUGCAUUCUAUUUGCAAGUCAACAAUCUAUUUUUAUUAAUAAUGAACAAUCUAACGAAUAGCAACCGACCCCCAGAGCUUCGUAGGUGCCAUGAUCGAGAUCUACAAGAAUAAGGCACAGCAUUUGUUCAUCCAGGGCGUUAGCGACGACUGUUUUAGAUUAUUAAUGUUCAGCAAGCCUCAUAAUUUUCAGAGGUUCGUUUCUCAGGGAUCGGGCAGUAAAAGAUAUUUUAAUGGCCCUAAUUCCUCAGAAAAAGAUCAGAGAGUGCUGUUUCAGAUAGAGGUGACACCAAAAUCUGCAACCUUAAACUCUCAUGAAAAUGACCAACAACACCCUUCCGUACCUUAUUAUGAACAAGCUUGCGACAAUGGCGGGGGCUACAACGAAGAUGUCCCCUUCUUCGUACUUCCACAACUGCAUUUAUUCGACGACAUCAUAGGAGACGAUACGCUGUAAAAGCAAUGUAGCUACACGUACGUAUCCUAUCGAUAUACAAUUACCUCUUUUGGCAAAAGAAUCACCGAAUGUCUGCCCGCUGCUUGAUGCAGAACACUUACGCACUAUAGACCAAACGCUAAACUCUCUUAUAUACGAAUAUUCUAGUAUCUUUGAACGUGAGAGCUGAGACUCGUACCAGGACAGAAAAUCCUAUCUAUACGAAAAGCUAUCUCUACCUCGCGCCUAUGAGGGGCAGAGUUGAAAGACAGAUAGAUGAACUUUUGAACGAAGGUAUCAUAAGGGCUUCGAAAGGCCCAUCAAAUUCCCCGAUUUGGGGGAAACCUAAACCGAACGGAAAAAACAAUGCCGUAUGGUGGUCGAUUUCAAGCGUCUUAACACGGUGACAAGAUUAGACACGUUCCCGAUACUGGACAUUAAUAACACUUUGGCUAGUCUCGGUGGAACUAAGUACUUCACCACGCUUGAUUUAAAGUCAGGAUUCCAUUAAAUUCAUAUCAAGGAAUCAAACAUCAAUCACAUAGGGAAAAUAUGUUACGUCUUCAUUGACAAUAUUAUUGUCUUUAGCAAAGACUACGAGAGUCAUUAGGCGCAGUUUUCAAAAAAUUAAAGAAGGGACUUGAAGUGUCUGGAAAAGACACAAUUUCUCGCAAAACAGGUCGAAUUUCUUGGUAACAUAAUAAACCUUGAAGGCAUCAGGGAGGACAAAAAACAAAAUAGGACCGCCUGCAAAUGUCAAAGAAUUAAGAAGCUUUCUUGGUAUGACGUCUUAUUACAGGAAAUGUAUUCGAGUAUACGCCAAAGUCGCUUAAUCUUACACGGGGCGAACUUACAAAAGUAAAGUCUAGCCAAUCGAAACAAGUUCCAAUAGAACUUGAUGAGACAGCUUUGCAAGCAUUUGAUAACCUUAAAACUACAUUUUCCUCUUCUGAAGUUUUGAUGUUCCUAGAUUUCAAGAAACCUUUUCAUCUGAAAACGGUUCUUAAUCAAGAAAGCAAGAUUACAAGAUUCAUCACAUCUGAUACUUCACGUCGUAACACCCAUAAACGUAUUAUAUUUAGGAAUCAAUUAGUAUUCGAUCUAGAACAGCAAGAAUACUCAUGCGUAUACCCCCACAAGGGGUGUAUAGGUCACCUGAUCCUUUCAAACUGAACGACCAUUCCAGUUUAGUUACUUCUUUACAGAAGUUCCUUAAACCAUUAAUAAUUAUUGGCGUUAAAAUUUCAGAAACAAACUUACAAACAUUGCAAUCUGUUUGCUUUGACAAUUUUAAACUCUACAAAAUUUUAAAUAACGCAAAGAUUGGUUGUUAAUAUAUCAGAUAAGGACAAAAUAUGCGAAUUAAUCGAAAAAGGACAUCGCAGGGCUCAUAGAGGUCCCAAAGAGGUAAGAGUGCAGAGUGCAAACAUUUUACUUGCCAGAAAUGUCAAGCACAAUUCAUGCCAAUGUUGCAAGACCUUCAAAAACGCGCGCCACCCCAACAAACCUGCCCUUCAAUAAAUAAUAAUUCACAUUGACGUGUUCACAUUGGAGAAAAAAUUUAUCUCAGCUGCAUCGACAAAUUUACUACAUUUUCUAAACUAAACUCUAAGCAAUUCACUACUUCACAGUUCCUAAAAUAAUAUUCUCCGAUAAUAAGGUUUUCUUUCUCAAACCAUUCUUAAAUAUCUUCGGUCGUUGCAAAUACAACUGUACAACACCCUACACAGAAAAGAGAGGUCAACGGUCAGAUUUCACUCUACCUUCUUAGAGUUCCACCGUUGGCAAAGGGACGAACAUCCUACUUUCAAGAGUUAAGAGCUAGUUUCUAUAUCUGUUGACAGAUACAACAAUUCUAUUCACUCAGUGACAAACAAAAAACCUGUGUAUAUUUUUUUCGACCGGACAGCUAGAAUUAACUACCAGGGUUUAUCUGAUUUCAAACAUUAACACAAUGUUAUGGAAGACGUAAGGGGACUCAUCGAACAUAACCAAAAGCUAGCUAAAGCCAAUCACAAUAAAGGUAAAAAAGAACCAGUUGAUUACAAUCGAAACGAUAAAAUCUUCGUAGCCAACAAACAAAUUAAAACAAAGGAAAGUCCGAAAUUCAAAGCUAAAGAGGUACCGGAAGUAAUGAUACUGUUAAAACUAGGUCCGGUAAAAUUUUUCAUCAGUCGCACAUAAGGAACUAACAAAAAAAAAUACAAAACAAAUAAAACAAAAAACGUCCAUGCGUUUUACCCAUUGAAGCUAGUUUAAAAACAUUUUUCACAAUAGAACAGAAAAACACAUUAAAUUUAAAAACACAAACAAAAAACAUACAAAAAAAAUUUUUACGAAAAACAUACAAAAACACUUUUAUAAAAAAACAUAUAGUAUAAUUAAAUAUAACCUAAGAAAACACACUUACAACAUAGAAGCACUAAAAACAAGAAAUAAAUUUAAAAAAAACACUAAAACACGAAACAUAUAAAAACAAAAAAGCAUUAUACAAAAUCAACAAUAAAAAUGUUUCAAAUCACAUUAAGUAUCACAUAAAAAAAGAACACUACAGUAUAUACAAAUUUUUUCUUGUAAUUUUGGAAUUUGCUCACGUGCUGGGAGCUGUUAGCAUCUACAAAUACGGUGGCCUCCUUGUGGUGGUUUCCUUGCAACAUUUUUGUCGUGGACUUGGAAAGGAUGCGGCAACUAACGGAUGAAAUCACUAAAGAGGCAGCUAUGUUGACGGACAAUAGGAUAGAGCCAAUGGUGGGUCACUACCUAAGGGAUGCGGGGGAAGGAAUCAACCGGAUAACAAUUGUACCAAGAAGGAGACCACGUUCCAUAGAUUGGAUAGGCGCAGCUUGGAAAUGGGUAGCCGGAUCCCUGGAUGCAGCUCAUUGGAACGCAAUUCUAAGCUCACGAGAUACGGCUUCUAAGAACAACGACCAACAGCUAAGGAUUAACUCCAGAAUCUUUGACUUGACCCAUGAGUCAAUUCAACGAAUUAAGAACAUCGUUAUGAAAAUAAAUACCGUUGAUGAUCUUAUCAGAGGUGGACAACCUGCCGUACCAGAACACUAUCGCCAUAGAAUUUGCUCAACCAUCGAUCGUCACCAACGGAACCGUGUUGUAUAUCGUAGCGUUUCCAAAAGUGACGGACAGAAUUUACCUGAUCCAAUUUAUCUGAUCCACAUCUACCCAAUGGUCGAGGAGGGAAAACAAAUAAUACAAUACAAAUAAAACAAUACAUCAAACUUGCUACUGCGUUGGCUACUUUUAAACUUGGCCGAGGAAGUUUGGGCAUUCCAGUCUGGAACGGCGAGCCAAGUUCAUCAAGGAACAUUGAAGACCUUUAAAUUAAGAAUCUAAAAUAUUGCAAUAAAGAAUCAACCCACGGAACUGAAGCUUGAUUUAUUUGAGAAUGGAAUAUAUAGUCUUCAUGCAAUUCGCAACUUAGCAAAAUGUCGUGUUAAAUGGAUCGGCUAAGGCGUGACCAAAUGGGUCGCGCUAACUUAUAUAUAUAUAUGUCGGAGCAUAUUUUUGCAUGUGUUAGUGUAUGGGUAUGCUUUAAGUGCAUUUCAUCUAAUGGAAAUAUUGCAUCAGCCUCUAUUUGCGCAGUUAUUGGUCGUCUGAAUUUUGUAGUUUUGGGAAAAACCGUUAUAGCGCGGCGCCACCGUGUUGUCGCUGACGCCGAGUGUGGUUCGAUGGUAAGCACGUAGAAGAUGUGUGCGACACAAGUCAGUUGUGCGUUGAACUUCAGUGCGCUCGAAACUCACUGCGCUAACAUUAUGGCGGACAAAGACGAAAGUGUAUCUUUGACAUCAAAAGUGGGAUCUCCCUUGCUAUCUGAUAUGUCUAUGGCGCACAAUAGCGCUUUUGCUACACACAAAUCAAAUUUUUGAUGACAACGGAUAUCGUAUUCGACAGCGUUUUGCCGGUGCGGAAACUCCAGCGGCUAUGUUUUUGUCAAUGCUGGCAGAUUGUCCGACUGCCGGUGAAUGCCUUUUCAAUUAUGCUAGUCGCAUGAUGACGUUACGAAAUGGCGUGAUCUGAAUGUGGAAGAAAUUGCAGCUUCUGUAACGCUUGCUAAGAUGGCACAUGUGGAUAGCAGAUUGCAGAGAUUGACCAGAAGUGAAUUGCAAACGGAACUUAAAGCAUUUACCUCUACAAAAGGAAGAAACCCCUGGAAGAAAAAGCAGCUACGUCUGAAAUAAAGCGUCAUAAACUUUCAACAAUAAGAUGUCAUUUCUGUUCUAGGCCACAAGAUGAUCGAUGUAGAACUAAACAGCAGCAAAAUCUUUCACCUGGUGCUAAGAACAGCAACGACAGGAGCGCAGUUGGUCACCAUCAAAAAUUGGAUGUAACCUGUUUUAAUCAAAGAAAGAAAAAGGCACGCAUCAGGUGAAAUGGCUGGAGCUUUGUGAAGUUGUUGAACCCAAGUGCCAGAUGGUUCAUCAGUGCGAGACAUUUCCAAUAACUUUUGACUCUGGAGCGGAAUGUUCUUUAAUUAAACAAAAGUAAUAAAUUUGUUGGUAAAAGAA
Molecule: long non-coding RNA, 6837 nt
Organism: Drosophila yakuba
Lineage: Eukaryota; Metazoa; Arthropoda; Insecta; Diptera; Drosophilidae
Exons: 2
Source: RefSeq, a predicted model, not a curated record